Molecule: ribosomal RNA, 304 nt
Filed under: uncultured bacterium
Lineage: Bacteria
Description: partial 16S ribosomal RNA
Rfam family: Bacterial small subunit ribosomal RNA
Source: RNAcentral
UAGGGAAUCUUCCACAAUGGACGCAAGUCUGAUGGAGCAACGCCGCGUGAGUGAAGAAGGUCUUCGGAUCGUAAAGCUCUGUUGUUGGUGAAGAAGGAUAGAGGCAGUAACUGGUCUUUAUUUGACGGUAAUCAACCAGAAAGUCACGGCUAACUACGUGCCAGCAGCCGCGGUAAUACGUAGGUGGCAAGCGUUGUCCGGAUUUAUUGGGCGUAAAGCGAGCGCAGGCGGAAUGAUAAGUCUGAUGUGAAAGCCCACGGCUCAACCGUGGAACUGCAUCGGAAACUGUCAUCNNUGAGUGCAG